CUGCCUCUCAGCAGAGGCCAGGCAGGGGGGACAGUGUAUGCAAGAGUAAUUUGGAGUUUGUGCUAGUUCUAGCCAGCCUAUUCGGUGGCUGGAUAAGUUGCAUUACUUCAACAUUU
RNAcentral lists this small nucleolar RNA (116 nucleotides) under Myotis brandtii (Brandt's bat). Its description in RNAcentral is "Small nucleolar RNA SNORA58". It matches the Rfam family "Small nucleolar RNA SNORA58", at positions 22 to 136 of the family's 136-position model. From Rfam's summary of the family: ACA52 is a member of the H/ACA class of snoRNA that guide the sites of modification of uridines to pseudouridines. Lineage: Eukaryota; Metazoa; Chordata; Mammalia; Chiroptera; Vespertilionidae. The record is from Rfam by way of RNAcentral.